AAGUCGAACGGCAGCAUGAUCUAGCUUGCUAGAUUGAUGGCGAGUGGCGAACGGGUGAGUAAUACAUCGGAACGUGCCCUGUAGUGGGGGAUAACUAGUCGAAAGAUUAGCUAAUACCGCAUACGACCUGAGGGUGAAAGUGGGGGACCGCAAGGCCUCAUGCUAUAGGAGCGGCCGAUGUCUGAUUAGCUAGUUGGUGAGGUAAAGGCUCACCAAGGCGACGAUCAGUAGCUGGUCUGAGAGGACGAUCAGCCACACUGGGACUGAGACACGGCCCAGACUCCUACGGGAGGCAGCAGUGGGGAAUUUUGGACAAUGGGGGCAACCCUGAUCCAGCAAUGCCGCGUGUGUGAAGAAGGCCCUCGGGUUGUAAAGCACUUUUGUCCGGAAAGAAAUCGCACUUACUAAUAUUAGGUGUGGAUGACGGUACCGGAAGAAUAAGGACCGGCUAACUACGUGCCAGCAGCCGCGGUAAUACGUAGGGUCCAAGCGUUAAUCGGAAUUACUGGGCGUAAAGCGUGCGCAGGCGGUUGUGCAAGACCGAUGUGAAAUCCCCGGGCUUAACCUGGGAAUUGCAUUGGUGACUGCACAGCUAGAGUGUGUCAGAGGGGGGUAGAAUUCCACGUGUAGCAGUGAAAUGCGUAGAGAUGUGGAGGAAUACCGAUGGCGAAGCAGCCCCCUGGGAUAACACUGACGCUCAUGCACGAAAGCGUGGGGAGCAAACAGGAUUAGAUACCNUGGUAGUCCACGCCUGAACGAUGUCAACUAGUUGUUGGGGAUUCAUUUCCUUUAGUAACGUAGCUAACGCGUGAAGUUGACCGCCUGGGGAGUACGGUCGCAAGAUUAAAACUCAAAGGAAUUGACGGGGACCCACACAAGCGGUGGAUGAUGUGGAUUAAUUCGAUGCAACGCGAAAAACCUUACCUACCCUCGACAUGCCACUAACGAAGCAGAGAUGCAUUAGGUGCUCGAAAGAGAAAGUGGACACAGGUGCCGCAUGGCUGUCGUCAGCUCGUGUCGUGAGAUGUUGGGUUAAGUCCCGCAACGAGCGCAACCCUUGUCUCUAGUUGCUACGAAAGGGCACUCUAGAGAGACUGCCGGUGACAAACCGGAGGAAGGUGGGGAUGACGUCAAGUCCUCAUGGCCCUUAUGGGUAGGGCUUCACACGUCAUACAAUGGUGCAUACAGAGGGUUGCCAAGCCGCGAGGUGGAGCUAAUCCCAGAAAAUGCAUCGUAGUCCGGAUCGUAGUCUGCAACUCGACUACGUGAAGCUGGAAUCGCUAGUAAUCGCGGAUCAGCAUGCCGCGGUGAAUACGUUCCCGGGUCUUGUACACACCGCCCGUCACACCAUGGGAGUGGGUUUUGCCCGAAGUAGUUAGCCUAACCGCAAGGGGGGCGAUUACCACGGCAGGGUUCAUGACUGGGGUGAAGUCGUAACAAGGUA
This 1444-nucleotide ribosomal RNA is filed under the name uncultured Ralstonia sp. RNAcentral's name for it is "bacterial SSU rRNA". It matches the Rfam family "Bacterial small subunit ribosomal RNA". Lineage: Bacteria; Pseudomonadati; Pseudomonadota; Betaproteobacteria; Burkholderiales; Burkholderiaceae. The record is from RNAcentral.